CUAUCUUGUUACUCUUCCUAAUGGAUAUAAAGUGAAAGUGACAUGCAUAGGAUCUUUUGCAUUAACUCCAUCCAUCACCCUUCACAAUGUCUUGUUAGUUCCUUCUUUUAAACACAACUUGAUUUCUGCCCACAAGUUAGUGAAACAGUUGCAUUGCAUAGUUUUGUUCACUGCAACUUCCUACUUCCUCCACAUGAUACAUGACCCUUCCUUGAGGAAGCCUCUGGAUCUUGGUAAAGAGGAGGCUGGUCUAUACAAGCUUUCUUGGGUUCCAGCUUCCCGUUCUUCCUCUACUGGUUGUUCAUCUACUUUUGUAUACUCUAUGUCUGACUCUUGUAAUCAUGACAAUCCUUCCUCUACUGGUUGCCAUAAAGUUGUUGCUUUACCUUCCAAUGUAAAUAGUUCCAUCUGUAAUAAUGUUGUUACAACUGACAUUGCUCAUACUUCAUUUGCAAACAUGAAACACAUUUCUGGAUUGUCUUUUCCAUUUGCUUCUAAGCAGCCUUUCCCUUGUUCUAUUUGUCCUAUGGCUAAACAGACUAGACUUCCCUUUCCUGAUAGCACAAUAAGUACUUCUAGACCUUUCCAAUUGAUUCAUGUGGAUACUUGGGGCCCCUAUCACACUCCUACUUCCAAGCAUCCUUUCCCUUGUUCUAUCUGUCCUAUGGCUAAACAGACUAGACUUCCCUUUCCUGGUAGCACAAUAAGUACUUCUAGACCUUUCCAAUUGAUUCAUGUGGACACUUGGGGCCCCUAUCGCACUCCUACUUCUUCUGGUUCUAGAUAUUUUCUUAAAAUAGUUGAUGAUUUCUCUAGGGCCACCUGGACACACUUACUGGGGUCUAAAAGCAAUGCUUUCUUCCUGCUUAAAUCAUUUCUGUGUAUGGUCAAAAACCAGUUUAAUGCUGUGGUUCAAACUGUUAGAAUUGACAAUGCUUUAGAAUUGGGGUCUAGCAUUGAUGGUGCAUCUUUCUUUAGUAACCAAGGGAUUAUUCAUCAAACAACCUGUCCUCAUACUCCUCAACAAAAUGGUGUUGUUGAAAGGAAACAUAGGACUCUUCUUGAGACAUGUAGAGCUUUUCUCUUUCAAU
Molecule: long non-coding RNA, 1091 nt
Filed under: Nicotiana benthamiana
Lineage: Eukaryota; Viridiplantae; Streptophyta; Magnoliopsida; Solanales; Solanaceae
Description: long non-coding RNA (NBEN_LNC015873)
Source: RNAcentral